AACGAACGCUGGCGGCAGGCCUAACACAUGCAAGUCGAGCGAGGACUUCGGUUCUAGCGGCGGACGGGUGAGUAACGCGUGGGAAUGUGCCCUUCUCUACGGAAUAGCCCUGGGAAACUGGGAGUAAUACCGUAUACGCCCUAUUGGGGAAAGAUUUAUCGGAGAAGGAUCAGCCCGCGUUGGAUUAGGUAGUUGGUGGGGUAAUGGCCUACCAAGCCGACGAUCCAUAGCUGGUUUGAGAGGAUGAUCAGCCACACUGGGACUGAGACACGGCCCAGACUCCUCGGGAAGCAGCAGUGGGGAAUCUUAGACAAUGGGGGCAACCCUGAUCUAGCCAUGCCGCGUGAGUGAUGAAGGCCUUAGGGUUGUAAAGCUCUUUCAGCUGGGAAGAUAAUGACGGUACCAGCAGAAGAAGCCCCGGCUAACUCCGUG
This 432-nucleotide ribosomal RNA is filed under the name uncultured bacterium. Its description in RNAcentral is "partial 16S ribosomal RNA". It matches the Rfam family "Bacterial small subunit ribosomal RNA", at positions 29 to 507 of the family's 1533-position model. The record is from RNAcentral.